RNAcentral lists this long non-coding RNA (26540 nucleotides) under Cinara cedri. The record is from RNAcentral. Lineage: Eukaryota; Metazoa; Arthropoda; Insecta; Hemiptera; Aphididae.
AGUUUCAGUAUUUACUUAGACGCCGGACGAAAUCGUAGACGUUCCCCGUCGGCAAUACUUUUUACGUGUCUGACGUGUGAUCCGUCGUACGUAUUUACCCGAUAGUUUCCCAAAAUAUUUUCUUUUGCAUUUCCGAUUUUCGCCCUCCUGCAUUUGCGCUCCCGUUGACCCAAUUCACCGACACCCCUCGAGUACUUCCGAUCCGGCACCGGUUCACGCGGCCACCUGCAGACGAUCGCCCGCGCCGUCCCGUCCACGGGGAAACUAGUUUUCCGCCACACGUAAGUAUAAUAAUAUUAUUACAAUCAUUAUUAUAUUUAUUAUUAUAUUAUAAGAAAAAAAAAAAAUUGUUUAUUCUCGAAUACGAUUUGUAACAUCAUAUCAUACAAUAUCAUUUAUUUAAUUUCGAAAAAAAAAAAAAAUUGUUAUUCUCGAACACGAUUUGUAACAUUAUAUCAUACAAUACCAUUUAUUUAAUUUCGAAAAAAAAGAAAAAAUUGUUAUUCUCGAACACGAUUUAUAACAUUAUAUCAUACAAUACCAUUUAUUUAAUUUCGAAAAAAAGAAAAAAUUGUUAUUCUCGAACGCGAUUUAUAACAAUAUAUCAUACAAUACCAUUUAUUUAAUUUUAAAAAAAAGAAAAAAUUGUUAUUCUCGAACACGAUUUAUAACAUUAUAUCAUACAAUACUAUUUAUUUAAUUUUGAAAAAAAGAAAAAAAAAAUUCUAAACCGUUCGUUUUACAUUAUUACGCACUUACUUGCUCCUCAUAAUUUCAUAAUAAUUUCGUGAUAAUUAAUUUGGGCACUUGUCAUUAUAUUAUUGUUAUCGAUCGUCUCGCGUUUAAGUUAGUGUAUUUACUCCCAUUUACAGGUUUGCGUCGUGUAAGUAAUUUCUGCGUGCCGAAUUGUUACGGAGUGUUUCCCUCUGUCCCUCUGUCUUUAAAAAAAAAAAAAAAUUGAACACACAGCCUCCAUUCCCGACAAACGGCGAUACCGUAAAUAAUCGAACUUUUUUUUUUAUCGCUCCCGAAACGGCACCGUCCGUGUUAAAAAUAUCCGAAUCUUGCGCUCUUUUUACGUCCGCAUACAUUACGCGUACACACGCCGAUUAUCGGGUGCACAAAUUCAAGGCCGUAACUGUAAAAUAAUAAAAUUACAUAGAGAAAAUUAUCGAAAACUCAAAAAAAAUUCGCGGCGUUUUUAUCGACUGAAAUAAUUAUAAUUUUUCCGCGAGACACGGCGUAACGCGAACCGUUUUCGGGUGGCGGUGGGUGGGAGGGUGGGUUAGGUUGAACCGCGACCCUCCCCGCCCCACCGGUCAGGUACGGCCUUGGGUGCGAUAUCCGAAAUUCGGCCGGUUCAACCCGCGUAUGUACCGAUAUAAUAAUUUGCAUAAGUAUUAUACGGAAUUAAAAUAUAAUAAUACGUUGAAAUAUGACGCGCGACCCUGCCGCUCUUACCGAUACGGUCCCCUCUCCACCCCCCGCGAAAAUAGUCCUCGGUAAACAAGUAAGUAUAAAAGUGGUACACCUAAGCGCGUAAUCGAUAUCGAUCGGUAUGGCGGGGUGUUGAAGCCUUGUCCUCUCCGCCGCGAAAAAAAAAAAAAAAAAAAAAAAAAAAAAAAUAAUAAUAAUAAUAAUAAUAUUUGGGCUAAUCGCGCUGUACGGUAGAUGUGCACGAAGUGUACGAUAAUAUUGAGAAAUCCCGGCGGCGUGCGUUUCACCUUCCCCUCGCCCUGCCGCCCGUCCGCCGGGUCAAAGAGACACGAUACGAUUGUAAAUUUUUUCGCCGCCCGAAAUCCGGUAAAUCGACCGCGGCCGCGCGGUUUUCCGCGCGCGCUGGUUUAAUCUGAAUUUUCACGCGGCCGGCGCCGAAUUUUCCCGUUUCCGUAUCCGCGCCGCGGACAACGAAAAGUCCCGGGGAUCCGACGCGUAAAAAACGACCGCGCGGCGUCGGACCGCGGUUCCGUAUUGCCGUGUGCCCACCGGAUUUUUUUCGCCGAAUUUCGGCGAACACUUCGCGCAAUACCCGCGGCGGGAAAAUAAUUAUUUUCGAUGGAAAUAUUUUUGUUUAUUCGAACUGGUCGCGCGACGCGCAAUCGAAGAACGCCGCGCUGUUAUUGCACGGCGCGCUUUAGAACGGUAAUGUUUUGUUUUUAUAACUGGAUUUGCGAAUGCCGGGUCGGGUUUUUUUCUGCCAGCGACGCGUUAUUAUUAUAUCUUUUUUACUUUCCGCGCGUCUGGGAACUUUUCUGCCAGAAAUCUCGCGCCCCUGUAUAAAACUUUUUAGCGAACUUAUGGGCCGUCGUCGUCGUCCCUCCCCCCGCCGCUCUCUUCUAGCUUUUUUCAAAAAAAAAAAAAAAAAAAAAAUCAAAUCAAAACCCGGAAAAAACUUUGCAAUUUUUCGUACGAUUACUGUCGAUUUCCGCCGCAUUGCGUCUUGGCGAUAACAAGCGACACAAUAUACGAUCGAUAAUACACCCUGCCCGAAAUUGUUAGCGGCCGUUUGAACGGUUCGAUUAUUCGAGCACCCAACUAGAUUCCGACCGCAGUCCGGAGAAAAAGCCGUUUAACAGUUUUACUCGGACGCGCCGUAUUUUUUUUUUUUAUUUUUCUCGAUUUUCGGACCGCUAAAAACGGUCCGGUUUCGAGCGUCGAAUCCGAGAUGCGGUUUGUUUCGCGGAUAACUCGAAUAAAUAUUCUAAAUUCCUCUAGACCGUUGAUCUCUGGGAGGGGGGUAGGGGAGAGGCGCCGUACAAUGGAAAUACGACCCGACCGAUACGCUCAGAAUCGUUUUUCGACCGUAGCGAUUUAUCGUUCGAUGUCGGUCCGUCGGUACAACAUCGGCGUAUUAACCCCGCGCCUUUGAAAACUUUCCGCCCAUAACGGGACGACCUGCCCGUGCAGGAGGCGGCGCUAAGUACGCCGGGCUUUUCGACGGCUUUUCUCUUUGCCGCGGGCGGCGCGAAUGUCGAGGGAGAAAACAAAGUCGAGGAUUACAAAGAUUCAAUUACAUUACACAUAACGUAAUUGCGUGUUUUCUUUCGUUAACGAAAGUGUUCCGGCUGCCGUUAUUAUUUAUGUGCGCACGCGAGUGUAUUAUGUUAAGUAUCCGCCCGCGAUUAUUUAUUCAUAUUUCAAUUUACAUUGAAUUGCCGAACGCGCGUCGCUUUUCACAGUAGGCACGGAUCGUAAUAUUGGAUUUUAAAGAGCCGAGCGAACGCCAAACGAUUCCGCGUUCAUUAUCUAAUGUGAUUUCGUUUUUGACAAAAAUAAAAAAUGUAAUCGUACGCACCUCUACCCGUCUGAGUCCUUAUUUAUUAAUUUUUUUUUUUUACAUUUUUAAUUCCGCUUUUUGAUAUACGGAUAUAAGAAUGUAAUAAUAUCCAGAGACCAACGGCAAUUCGUUUUUCUCGGGCACGGAACAAUAAGAGUAGCGCCUUUUUAUUUACGCUCUCUCGCUCGGGUACUUUUUAAUUUUGUCCUUUUUUUUAAUAAAUACUAAUAAAACGCUCGUCGUUUGUAGGUGUCGAAAAACGCUAACGUCGUUUAUAACUCGAAAUUAGAAUUAUUUAAUUAUUAAAAAAAAAAAAAAAAAAAACCGUUACAGGUUUUGCAGCGGGUUCCGUUUUCCGCAAUUCACGCCGUCCUCACUAACCGCCGAUAAUUUCGUUUUAAACCCGCAGCAGUAUUAUGAAAUUCCGCAAAUAAACUGAAGAACAUUGUAGGUGUAGUUUAUACGUUAUAUUUUUGAUUACCGGCGGCCUGUCGACGAGACAUUCCGCUUUCGAGUUCGGGUAUGGGGUAGUGAAUAAACGUUUGGAGGAUCGGUACUAUUCUCCCCUUAUACGCAUACUUAAAACCGGGAAUCUCGUCAACGCGGGCCGGAAGAGGAAAUCAAAAAUGUCAACGCCGAAAUGUAACGUAAACUAUAUGAUACACCGUCAUCCGUCCGUUUGCGGAAUUUUUAAUAUGGGUUGUCGUUUGAAAAUCAAAAGUCAGUUCACUCCCCCGAACGCGGGUGACAUAAAAUAAUACGGUAGUUUAAUUUAUUUUAGAACUGUACUCUAUACGAGAAAAAGUCCUUCCUGCGAUAUAUCGCGACGAUCAUCAUCACAUUAUAUGUUCGCGUGCCAAUUUAUAAUUCGUUAUAAAAACCAAACGAAUUUGAUCGAGUUUUAAGGUUAUAGCCGAAGAAAAUAAAUGCAAUAAGAAUAAAAUGAUCGCUAUUAUAGUGCAAUACCGGGAAAACGGUUUCCUCUCGGUAUUUUUCUUUUUUAUUUUAUUCUUUUUCUUUUUUUUUUUUUUAUUAAGAAACUGACAACUGUUGAAUACCUUCCGAAUAAUUGUUUUCGUUUUUUUUUUUUUUUCGUAAUUCGAUAUCUCGAUAAAUGAGUAGGUAUCCGUGUAUAAUAAAUCACGCAAAUCGGGCAAUUCGCGCUUCGUCCGCUGUUUACUUUGCAAAGUAGGAAAACGCGUCAAUUCAUAACUUUCCCGGUUUUUAAACGUGCAAAGUGUCGGGCGUCUCGUUUCUCGAACAAAAUCUCCAUUUAACGCACUGACCGCCAUACCCGAACUUAUCCCCCAUAUUAUGAUAUCAGGGCAAAGGCUUGCUUUAAGUCACCGUCGUUUUUAAAAAAAAAAAAAGGCCGGUUACACGUUCAGUUAUUUUUCGAGAUUUUUUUCGCGGAAUUAGGUGUUUACGUUAUUUAAAACUAUUCUUACUAAUAACAAUUAUAGCGAUAAUUUGGACAUUUGGGUUUACAGUAAUAAUCGGGAGACAAUAUGUAACUCUGGGAAUAAACGGUAUUGGGGGCUUAUAGAAUUGUAUUUAGUCCGGAAAAAAAUCGCGAGGGCUGUGGUUAUAUAUCAAGUUGUUGAGUCCGUAACCUCGGAUUUAAUUUAUUCGGUUUUAGUGGGAGAUUUUUUUGUUUUAACAUUUUUUUCCACCCCCGAAAUCCGUCCGACGUUAUUCGUCCUCGUAUAAAAGGCUAAAAAAAAAAAAAAAACAAUCUUAUAAUUUACUUGGUUUCGUAUUAUUACCGUCUCGUCUGGUUUUCACGAUUAUAAUAAAUUAAUAUAAAAGAGUCGGUACCUAUUUACGCAUGGUCGGGUCGGAACGCGUAACUUUCAAAAGGUCUGUGCAGUGUACGAGACCCUCUCGAACAUAACUUAUUUACAAUUUCACCGCGUUAUUUAUUCACGUAUUUUUUUCGGCUUUUAGCAUUAUUAUAAUAAACGGGCUGUAGGCGUAUACCGCGUAUAAAACACAAUUCAAAUUUAAACGCAUACACGUACGAUAUUUGUAGACGGAAAAAAUAUUAAAAAAAAAAAAAAUUCGGAAAUAAAAACCGUCCCCUUACCCGAGCGGGGUCCCGAGUGGAAGGUACAGUAAUUAUUAUUAUUGUAAGUACAAUAUAUUGUUUGGCGGGUCGCGUCGACCUUGUAAUGCAUCACCGCUAUGCAUUAUUAUCACGAUUGUUCUUGUCGAUAUUUUUUCGGGGGUCGCGGUAUGCAUCGUUAGCCGCAUCAACGUGUGUUGUUUUCGCAAUAUUGCGAAAGGGAUUGUGGAUAUUCGGGGGAGAAAACGCCGAUUGAAAGCGCAAACAUUCGGUCUAAACUCCGACCGCGCCCGAAACGUUUAUCGCAAAACGCAAACGUCGGUUUAUUUGACUGCUAAAGAAAAUAUUUUCGAACACCGGCAAGGUAUUUCUGUUUUAAAAAUAUAAUAUAUUAUACACCUAUUGCAACGACAACGGGCGGUCCGUACAUUUCGUUUGAUUAUCGAUCAGAGAUUAUUAAAUAAUAUAACGUACACCUAUCGCAUAAUGUUAAGUUAUAAUGACAGUCGACGACUAUUCUGUAUGAGCAGUGGACGUUAUACUUAAAAACGGUUUCGGUGAAGAAUAUCGUUUUCGUUAAACGCGGGGUAAAUUGCUACGCAAACAGUAAGUACAUUAUGUUAUUAUUAUUACAUUAUAGUGACGUAAGUAAUUUAAUAUUCGGCAAACGCGUGUUAGAAUUCCCAUACAUUUGUACUGUUUAGCAGAAAAAAAAAAAAAAAAAAAAAACCGAGAAAAAUUACACCGGGACUUAAAGUUUCAAAAACAAAAUGCCGACAGUCGACUUAAACCACCUAAUAUAUUCCCCGGAACCGAAUUGGAUAUUGCAGUUAAUAUAUUAUAAUAAUCCUCUUUUGUCUUCGUCCUAUUUUUCUUCAAAUCAUUUGUCUUGACCGCUCUAACGCGAACGACUAUCCCUGUUUUUUUUUUUCUUAUAAUUGUUUAAUCCAAAAAUUAGUACCUCUAAUAUACUUAUCUGUAUUUUCCGUUAUUUUCGUUGGACAUUAUUACACACAAUCGUUAUCACUGCCGUUUGGCGUGUACAGAUAAAAUAUUCAAUCUCUCUGUAUUAAUAGAUUCUAGACAGUCGUCCUUCUCAUCUGGUUAAUUUCAACGAAAUAAUAAAGAACUGUACAUAGGUAUACACGCAGGGCCUCCGCAUCAAAUUCUGGGCCCCUGUACUAAAUGUCUGUCCGGGCCCUUUAAAAAACUUUCAACAAUACAAUUUACCAUAAAUUAUUAAAAAUCAAAAUCCAUAAGCAUUUCGGUAAAAAUAAUGUCUUUUUUAUUUUAAUUAUUUUUUUUGUUUUAUUACAAUAUUAUCUAAAUGAAAAAAGAAAAACAGGGGCUAGGACGCUAGGUAUAAAAAUCGAAUCAUUCUAAAUGAAAAUCGUUGCAAUCCAUCGUAAACGCGAUACGGGAGAUCCGAACACGAUAAUUUCUAGGUAAUCAAUUACAUUAUAUAACCUAUACGUUCAAAUCGAUUAUCUACUCACAAAACCAAUGAGAAUUUUGUUUUUAGAGAUCAAUGUUUAUUCGAAAUAAAUUCGAUAAUAAGAUCCGUUGAGUAUUCAAAGAGGAGGGGGGGAGGGGUUCCGAGUGUGAAUUCGAUGGGAUUUGGGUAGAAAAAAAUAAAACGAAAAAUUCUUUUAUUUCGUAAAAAAUUAUUCAACGUUCGACCGCAAUCAUAACUACUGUUCCCAUUAGUCGACGCAAAUAUUAAAUUUACUGCGUACACAUCAAUAACCGCGGUAAAUGAUAAAAUCGAGAUAAACUACUGUAAAUAGUGUUUACACAGGAAAACCCACCCUUAAAGGCGCACUCUGCCAGAUACCAUUUACAAAAAAAAAAAAAAACGAAAUUGCUUUUCAUCGAAAAAAAUAAUAAUAAGCGAUAUUUGUUUUUAUUGUUAUUAUUUGUAUUUAUUCGCUUUCAUAUUAUACGCCCGUAUUCUGCGUAACUAAAAAUAUAAAAUAAUAAUAUUGUAUUAUUUUUAUCAGAUUUGAAAAUGUGUUUUAAUAAUUUUAGUUUUAUUAUACGUGGUGUUUUUGACAACCGCGCAGUAUUCGCAAUCGAAAUACAAUACUCCAAUUUAUUAUUAUUAUCUCGUUCACUCUCGGUCAUUUCCUCUCAUUCUCGCUCUCCCCCCUCUCGCUCUCUCUCGCACUUCCUUCGAAUCAAACGUUUUGUACGUCGACGACGACGUCACCCCGUUCUUACGAAUAAUAAUUAUAUUAAUAAAUUUAAAUUAAAAGGCGAGUACCUUCGUUUCCUUUUAGCGUGUCCUUUUGAAACGUCUCGUUAAACUCGCUCACUGUUCGUAAAUACCGGAUUCCGUUCGUGACUCACAUUUCGUCUCGUCGUCUCGUAAUCUCCUUUUCCGUGCACCGCAUUAUACAAGUAAGAUACAAUGUUAUUGCUAUUAUUAUUAAACUCGUAUACGUUUCCCCAUCCCCCGCUCUCCACGGUUUACAUACACGAUUAUUAUUGUGAAAUAUCAUGUACACUUUUGUCGUCCUUUCCGCCGCCGGUAGUUCUUAACUCGCGUAAUGAAACCCGCAGAUGAAAACGAAUCGGGUCAAAUUAAAUCUUCGCCUUAACACGCUGCGGUAAAUUUAAUCAAAUCGUCAUGCGAUGCCUAUAGUUAAUAAAAACGAAUUCGUUUGUACACUAUUACAGUCUAUAUUCGGAGGGUAAAUCGCUAAAUAACAUUGUAUACACCAGCAUCAAGGACACCGUGGUUUUCCUAAUGGCUAACGAGAUUUUCCAUAAAAUUUCUUUUUUUAAUUAUCAAUUUAAGACUACCAAACGUUUAUAUGCCGAUUUCCAUUAUAGUGGAUUCGCCCUCUGCCUAUAUUUAUACCUGAAUAAUACAUAUAUAUAUUAUUCGUUAAAUUAUUUAAAAAAACCGAUACUGGGGACGGGUGCAGCCACUGUUGUAGGUGAGAAGUUGGGAAGUUAGGAUACAUAAGGUUAUUUCAUUUAUAUCUAUAAGCAACGAUAAACCAUUGCUGACGAAAGACGAUUCCGAGCGCAGUUCUGUAGUACAUAAUUUAAAGUGCCGUAUUUUUUUUUGCGAUUUUCGUUUAAAUUUGAUUUCAAAACGCUCAUUAAAAAAAAAAAUUCUAUAAAAAUAUGGUCUCUUGUUAUUGAGGAGAAUAAGACACUAUGUUAUAUCAUCCCUUAAAACUUCUUUCCAUGAACAGUAUUAACCUUUUUUUAUACUUCUAAUGGUUACAUAAUAAAUACAAAUUUGUGCAGUUUUCCACACCACCUUAACUCAAUAAAGAACAAUAAUUAUUUUUUUAUAUUUUUCAUCAACUGCAGUCCGUUAAUUAACUUAUUAAAAAUUAUGGAAUCGUGAAAAACUCGUAUUUUUUCCCCAGGUUAUUUCUUUUUAUUUUAAACACCGUUUCGAAAAUUAAAAAAUGACCUAUGUAUUUACCAAGUAGAUAAAAUUGAAUUUUAUAAAAGGUGCUAUAGUUAUACAUCGGAGCAAGUUUUCUAGAAUAAAAGUGGUCUACAGUAUAAAAAAUUAAUAAUAAUAAAGUACCAUUAUAAAAAAAUUUAAAAAAGGGAAAAAAGUCGUUUGAUGAUUUUAGAAAUUUUACCACAUCUAGGUAAGUCCAAUAUAAGUAUUAUUUCUAAGUUUCAAGUCUCUACGUGUUUUUAUAACCGAAUCACAGCAAAAAAACUCUCAAAAAUUAAAAUUCCUUAAAAGCACAAAAGUGACUCAAAAGUUUGGCAAUGAUACAGUUAGAAAUUAAAUUUAAAAGGCAACAAAAAAUGUAUCUUACGAUUUUUCCAAUAAAUCAUUUUUUCUGGUAGAAAACGUCAUCCGUGUUUUUUUAAGAAUGGUCUCUUUCAAUCUAGACAACUUGAGCUUUCUGAAAAGUUAUUACAUAUGCAAAUCGAGCAAGUUUACUAGGAAAAAACUUGUUCACGGACUAGAACAAAGAACAAAAAAAAAAAUAAAUAGCAUUUUAAAACGAAUAGCUCUCGCGAUACGUUCAGAAUCUAAUAUAUUUCGUUUGAAAUCUGACAAUUAAUACGUACCUACGUAUUAUCGUUAUUUUUAUUACCUACUUGAAAAACGGCACUUUGCAUACAUCGGCUAUAUCUUGUGCAAAUUUAAAUAUCCGUUAUCUACAAUGUCGCCAAACUACUAUUUAGUAUACGGUGCCAGUGGCGAAUUUUGGCGGGGAGAUCCUCUUCCCCUCGUUCGCUUCCCCCAAUAACUACUACUAUAAAUUCAUUAUAAAAAUACGUUCUUUAUUUUCAAUACCGCCCCAAACUCCUCGGUUAUUUAAUCCCGGAUCUGUCCCGUCAAACACGAUUCCUACAGAUCCGCCCGACUUCGAGUCUAAAUCAAUUAAAACAUACUCUCCCACCAAUCCCCUUAAUAGUAUCCAAUAUUUGUUUUUCUGAAAAUAAUUACUCGUUAUAUUAUAUGAAAAUAUUUUUCAGCCGAUCGAUUAUUUUAUUUGACAUAUCCGGUCUCCUAUAAACUUCUCCUUGUCGUCUUCAAUACUGUCCCAAUUACUCAUUAUAUUCCAUUGUAAUUAUUAUUUGUGCGGCGUACGUACCUCAUCCUUGCGGGCCUGUCUUUUUCAAUACGACGUUAAUCAUUAAUAACUAUCCUACACAAUAUUAUUCGUUGUAUAUAUAUAUAAUUAAAUUAUUUUUCUAAGUGGAUUGGAAGCGACGGGUGUCUAACUUUGUUUAACACACAUGAAAUAUAGGGAUUUAGACGUGUUUCCAAUGUACCAAUUAAUCUAGUGAAGCGGUAAGAAUACUGAAGGCGAAUUUGAAUUUUUCAUAAAGCCUGCUUGAGAUCGACUUUUCCUAUUAUUUUUAUUUUUGAUUUUAAUUUCUCAACAAAUUAAAAUAUUCCGUUUUUUUAAAUACUCUUUUACUAGUAUGGCUUUUAUGAGAAAUUGAGGAUAUCGUUUUUGGAAAUAAAACACGUCUAAAUCCCUAUAUUUCAUGUGUGUAAGACAAAGGCAGACACCCGUCGCUUCCGAAACAAUUAAUAAUAUAAUUUACUUAUCGUCAUGAAACGUUUCCUGUUUUUCAUAAAUAAUAUAUAUAUCAUAGCAUAUAUAUAUAUAGAUUUUUCGAAUUACCUAACUAAUUAGCUUUAUACCAAUUAGGUCCCGAGCGUUUGAGGUUUUCAAACAUCGACACCUAGUAAUAUUUUAUUCGUACUUGUUUGUGCGAGGCAGAUAGCGAAUAAUUAUUCAAUUCUCCCCCUCCCCGUUAAUUUAUAAUGUAUGGAUUUCAUAAAUAAAAACACGCGCGAGAAAGGAUUUAUAUAUGAUUUUAAUAAAAUAUACACACAGUUUUUGACAAGGACAACAAACCGCCGUACACUAUAGCUGUUAGUGCAAAUAGCUGUAUAUUUACAUAAGGACCACUUUUAUACCUAUUUAUUAUUUAUUAUUCCCACUAACUAUUUUAUUUUACAAAUCCGGAGAAAUUUUAUAUCGCCUAUACAGGGCGAUUUAUCAUGAACCCUAUUUUCAAAAAACAAAAUAAAAAAACACAGUUUUGCAUAGAAAAUAUAUUUUAUAUAAACAUUUUGAUACGCGUAACAAUAUAAUUAAUAACUAUAUAUUAUAGAUUUUACCGUUUAUGUGCAGCUGUGGCAUUUCUAUAGGAUUUUUAACAAAAUCCCCCCCUCCCCCCAAUAUUUCCAUAGGCGCACAUAUACUUCAACGUUUUCUUUAUUAGAAAUAACGAACUCAUUGCCUGUUUUUUUUUUCAAUAUGUAUCGCGCUACCUAAAAUCAUUUAAAUUUUACCGACCUAGACGUUUGAACUCCCGGGGCAAUGGCCCCUUUCGUCUCCUUAAAUAUGUCACUACGUUUAUGAGUUAUUAACCGUUUCGUAUGAUAAACUGAUAACCCUUCCCUACGCAUCCGGUCUAAACUUUAAAUUAGUUUUUUUAUUAAGAGCUUUUAGUUUAGACUAUUAAGGUCGACAAUUACAAUGUUUUAAAGUGGUUAUAAUACAUACUCGAAUAGAGAAUAAUUUUCAAAACAUUUUAACACGUGUAGCUCUGUAUAAUAUAAUAUCGUUUUUAUCAUUUAUGAACUAUACAACAGUUAGACGAUAAAUCCGAUUACAUUCGUAUAACGUAUAUUCGAAUCUGUAUUUAAAAAUGGAGAAGGUUGAUGUUUGAAAAUCCAUAGUGAUGUAUAAUAGUGUAAUGUAUACAAGGAGUAGGAGUAUAAAAAAAAAUUGAACAUAAUGCGCUUAAACGAGCUAUAGUAAUAACUGAGCGAGAGCGGGGGGGGGGAGGGUUGCAACAGAAAUCAAAUUCGAUUAAAAUCCACCGAGAUAAUCUCAGGUUCGUGAUAAAUGGAUCGCCCGGUAUAAUAUUCCAUGCGUAUAGUAAUAAUUUUUUUUUUCGUAUCUUUAGUUUUUGUAGUGUAAUCGCGUUCCAUUCGAGAAAAAACAUAUAUACAUAUAUAGGCCACGUAAGUCGUUAGGUUAACCUCCCGGUUAAGUUGAUUUACUGCCUGUUAUAUAUGUAUAGCAGCUAGGUGAGUAUACUGUCGGAACAUUUAAAUAAACGUUUACUUAUAUUUUGUUUGAACAAGAUAAAAAGAAAAAGCGUUCCCGGUUCAGCUGCAGUCGCGGUAAACUUCUGCGUUGUUUUAUAUUUUUCAAUAAUCAAAACUCUUUUACAAAAGACUAACUUUUAUAGACGGAUAUCAUAAGUUUUAUUUUUGCCGCUACAAUAUUGAAACUCUUUCUUAACCAACCGAAUACUUGGGUUCGUUUUUUUUUUUUUUUCCAAUAAAAACUUGCAAGAAUAAAUAUUUUUCAUGUUGUAUUUUUUCGUUAUCAGAAAUAAAGAAUUGGCAUGAUAGGUAUUAUGUUAAUAGACUGUUAAAAUAUUAAAACGUUAAUAAUAUAUUAACAUUUAUUAUUCAUAAACACACUCGCUUCUACGCGUAUAAUCGAUUUAUUUAUUAUUAAAAAAAUUAUUAUAUCUUUGACAAUUUUUUGCGCUUUCGUUUAUCGAGUGUUUUUUUUAUUUAAGUUGCCAACAUGUUUUUAUUUCGAAAACAUAUCAUACGGGGAAAACUCUCAUCCUUAGUAUAGAAUUGAUGAUUAUUAUUAUUUUUUUUUUUAUCGGAAAAGGUCUUCAUUGAACUCUGUUUAUCAACAUUUUAAUCUCGUAGAUGAGUAAAAGUAUACAUUAUAAUGUUUUUCUAAAAAAUAAAUUUUACCUUUCUUUUUUUUUUUAUCAGUUCUUUUAUACCAUUAUUUAUUUGAUAUCGAAAAAUAAGAAAAUAAAAGCUCAAUACGGGCUGUAAAACGUUGAUGUUUAUCAGUUAAAAAAAGAAUGGUAUAGAAAACGGUUGUUCAUAUUAAUUCCGCAUAGCCAUAUCCAUCCGUAAAAACGACCAUACCUCUUUCCCUAAUGGAUAUCGAGCAGCAGUAGAUAAAUGUUAUAAUUUAUUGUUAUUACACAAAUUAGAGAACAUUUGGAAAACUUGUCCAUCAAGAGGCUGUAACAGUCACAAUUGUCGUUAAAACUGUUCAUUUUUUUUGUGUAAAAAAAAAAAAAAACAAAAAGGCCUUUAAAAUUGACUUCGAAGAUAAAACGCCUAUAAUAUAUAAUUUUUAGAUGACAACAUUUUGAAGACUAUCUAUCUCAUCGGAAUUUUUUGUAUAUUAAUUAGUUAAAAAAUGUAAAGUUCUAAAUAGAAAAAAAAAAAAAAAUGAAAAAUAUAACAAAAGUACCUUCGACAUUGAUAGUUAAAUAUUUAAAGAAUCGUAAAACGCCGAUAAGAUAGUCUUCAAAAUGUUGUUAUCUACAAAUUACAUAUUAUAGGUGUUUUAUCUUUGAAGCUAAUUUUAAAGGCAUUUAAAAAUUUGUGUAAAAAAAAAAAAAAAAACGAAAAGUUUUACCGUAUUGACUCUUAGAAAGAAAUAAGAAUGGUGAAUGCCACCGUGACGGCCUCCUAAAGCACGAUUAAUUUUUAAUAACGCAGGGCUUUCAAAUAAAAGUGUACAAUUAAAUUAAAUUUUCACUUAACGACAAUAUUACAUUAACAAAUUGUAUAACUGAAAGUAAAAGAAGUAUAACUAACAUAAUCGCCUAUACCAUUAAUACAGCGUCCGUAAUUAUUUUAAUGUUAAUUAGUCGAUUGCUUUGAAAUAAUUCCUUCUCGUAAAAAAUUAAAAAAAUGAAUUUACUUUUUAUUCAAAUAUUUUCGACAAUCAAAGAGCCUGUAACAUAAUAUUAUUUUAUCUAUCCGAGUAUGACAUUUUUGUAUUUCAAUAUAACAAGCCGCAAAAAUUUUAACUUAACCUUUUAAAUUUUUAAAUUAACCUUUAGGAUUUUAUUAGAGUAUGAUAAAUAAAUAUAUAUAUAUAUUAUUUAUGGAAGGGGGAAAACUGCGUGAUGUUACAAGAAUACCAAAACGUAUAAAUACCUGCAUUUUCUUUAUUUUUCUCCCCAGUUUUCUGUCCCGCGCGCACGUACUAAUAUUGAAUCGAUAAUGUUUACGCCGUCGCAACUAUUUCCGUUUAAAAUAACGAAACGCAAUUUAUAAUAAAGUAUAUAAUGUGUAUAUCAUAUUAUAACUUUUAAGGUAUUUUCAUCAAAGGGGAAAAAUGUAACCUUUCGCGAUAAAAACAAAUUUCACCUACCCCAGAGCCUGCAGCUAUACCCGAAGAAUUGUUUACAUAUUUAGCGCCCUUUCAUUUUUUGACAUUACAUCAAAAUUCCGAACUGCAAACUUUACAUUUUGUAAAUACCCUUUGAGCUCUAAAAAACAUUCUUUCAGGCCCUGCGGUAAAGCGGCUUGAUAUUUAUAAAAAUAACUGCUAUUUUACCGUAUUUUAAAAUAUGAUGUUCCUUUGAAAUUUCGCGUCGGAAGCCGUUGCCUCCCUUUUAACCCCCCCCCCCACCCUCUAAAAACGUCCUUGCUUAUAUCCAUCAUCUACAUUUCCAGUAGACCCGCUACAGGGUUAUUUAUUUUUUUUUAUCGUCAAAAUUUUACAGUGUUUUUAGCACGAGAGCGAUGUGACUUGCCUAUAUUAUAUACUUUCCAUUAUUCCCGCGUAAUACUCAUAAGUCAUUUCAACUUGUAAAACGUCGGCCGCGAAAUAAUGGAUUAGGUACGUUUUGUGACUUACAAAUAUAUAUCUGCAGUUUAUCUCUACAUAAAAUAUCGUAUAUACACGAAAAACGGCAAAACCUGAUGGAUAGGCUGUAACUUUUUUUUUCGUUUGACGUUUUUGAAAAACAGCACUAUCCUCGAAACUCCAUUUUCCUCUUUGAAUUUUUCUUAUCCACGGUGUCUAAACUCUACUAUAAUUUCAACUUAAAAUUCACGUAAUUAUUUUGGAACUGGUACCUAUGGUAUUCAUUUAUAUAAUUUUUUUUUUUUUUUUUAAGAGAACGCCACACUUUUACCACAUAUAUUGUCUCUUUAAACGCAUCACGACAUGGCAAAUAACGUUUGACAGGACAAAUUUUGCGCCGUUAUUAUUAAUAUUAAAACGAAUUAAACUAUUAUACCAAACCUAAAGGUAUAAAGAACAUAAUUUUCUGUGCCGCUACGUCGGUGCUUUUUCGAUGUUUUAAUUUUUAAGUGAGACAUGAACAUUUAUAAAUGGUCGUAUUUCACAUAUAAUAUGGAUAGCACCGAUAUACAUUUAUAAAUAUUAUACAUUGAUGUUUGAUAAAUUCACUUUCAAGGAAACGGCACAACAUUUGUCCUGCUGAACGCUGCAAAUUUGCUUUGUGCGUUUGUGACAUUAUCGUUUUUAAAAAAAUUUAAUAUUAAAUAUUCAAAGAUAUUAAAAAAAUAAAUAAAAAACUGUAGAGACCUAUUAUCUUCCGGAAAAAUAAAAUAAAUUUAUUAUCUAUAAAAUAUAUGUAUACGAUUUAUACACGAUAAUGUUUUAUCUUCGCUACAGUCGUAUAUAAAUAGUGAAAAUACUUGAAUUUUUUAAAUGCCUUGUUUCAUCAAUUUUAUGUAUGUACGAAAAAGUGUCCAAGCGUUAUCAUAGAUAAUUAAGGAAUCACCUAACACGCGAUUUUUAAUUGAAAUAAAAUUUGAAACUCAAUUUUUAAUUUUUAAAAAAUACACAUUAGGUCAUUUUUGCCCCACCUGUGACUAUAUGUAUAAACGAAAUACAGACUGAAUCCAUGCAGUGCGUUUCGUAAACCGAGAGUAAGUCGCUGACGGUUACAUGCAAUUAUGCAAUUGAAUUAACUAUUAAGUGUGUCGCACUCGAGACGACAUCGGAAUGCCUGAACGAAUCUCGAAUUACCAUAUCAUACAAAUUAAUUAGGUAUUCUAGUUUAUUAAUUAUCUUAUUACAUAUAAUACAAUAAGCCAUUCCUUAUUUGUGCGGGGAUUUCAAUUUAAUUCUAUUUUGUUUCCAGACGUUAAUAAUAUGAUGAAAUAUAUAUAGGAAUCGGUUUUCUCGUCAAUCGCCAAUAACAUUACGGUUUUCUCAGUCUGUCCCACAAGUAAUAUUAUGUAUAUAUAAUUAUAUAUAGGCACCACUGACAUUCCGCAUUUCCUGGAUUGCGACUUUCUAACGACGGUUGAGUUUAGAGCAAAGGGAUACUUUGUUUUUUUUUUUUUUACACACGGAAUGAUUCGCUAAGCGUGCUCACCCUAUUGUUUUGGUUAAAUUUUGCAUAUACAAGGCGGUCCAUUUAAAUUUUUUAUUUUAUUUUACGUAUAUUAAACGGGUUUUAACCCUUGAGCAAAAUACAAUUAAUACGCACAAUUUUUUGUUUAACUUAAUAGUGGAAAUUUGAUGCCCAAAUAAAUACAUAUAUAUAUACACGAGUAUUAAAAAAAAACCAGUAUGAUAAAAGUAUAAGUAUUAAAUUAACAAUGAACAACAGAAGUAGCCAAGAUAUUUUAAUAAUUCAAAAAACAUUAAUUUAAAGAAGCAAAGCAUUUAAGGAAAUAUAAAAAUUCUGUUUGAAAACAUUACGCGACAUAGAAAAAAGAACAACACGGUUCGUUACAAUUUUCGCCAAAGAGCUCUGGGAGAAAAUGAGGUGGAAGUAUAAUUGUUUCUAUAAAGAGGAACAUGAAAUAAUUCGGAAUUUCUUAAUCCGUGAGUUUUUAUAUUAAAACCAAUCAGAGAUAAUAAUUCCGGAGAAAAAAUAAGACCAUUUAAUAAGUCAUAUGUAAACAUAAUAACCGCAGCAUUUCUCCUCAAAUAACAAGACGCAAUCCCCAAUUGGGUAAUUUGCAUAUUAUAUGAAUUUCUUGACGUGGGUAUAUUUAAUUUUAAGCAUAAUAUUUUUAUAAAUUUAAAUUGAACGUUUUCAAUUAAACUUCAGACAAGUUAAUGGGUACACUCGAUAUCUCGGAAAGUAUUAACUUUUUUCAAUUUUUUUUUUUUUAAAUUUUAGAAACACACUGCUUUAAAAUUUAACAUUUAUAUUAUUUUUGUCAUCCUAACUUUUGGGAUUGAAACAAGUACCUACUCCAUCUAUUUAUGGAAUUUUUAAUAUAGUUCCUCAUUUGAAAAACCAAAUUUGGUAUACUCCUUGAAUGUUGUGAAAAAUGUAAGUAUUCAAAAAUAUCGGCAUUGACUAGACUCAAAAGUUCCAAAAACCAGAAUUUGAAUAUAUAUGCAAAAUCUAACCAAAAAAAAAAAAAAUGGAGUGAGCGCGGUUAGUGAAUCACACUGUAUACAGAUAAACGCAGUCUACACGGAUCCUAAGAAUGAUUUUUUUUUUUUAAUAAUAUUUUCAUUUUCAUUUAUUUUUUCAUUAUUAAUUUUUAUCUAGAUACGCGCUCGUUUUAAUUUUUCUCGUUAAUUUUAACCGUUAAUUAAGGCCACUUAAACGAUUGCUUAAUAUUAUCAAACCGUCACCCUUAUUCCAUAAACACGUACGCCUAUUUUAAAAUAAAUUGGCGAUUUUCAUAAUAUAGGCGGCCGAUGUUUUUUUUUUUUAUUUAUUUUUUUUCUUGUAACCUAUUUUCUGAAUUUCGUAUAUCCACGUUUAGCGAUCCAUUAUUGUUACACGCGGCGAAUUUAUUACACUGUUACGACAAAAUUAUUUCGUUUGCAAUUAACACUAUAAUAUACUCGUGUACAUCAGUGUAAUAAUUAUUAUAAUGCAUUCUACGCGCUGUAAUAUAGUUUUUCGUCACGUACGUUUCGCAUAUUGUUGAUUUUAUUUUCGAAUAAAUCUACAAACGGUCGAUUACAUUAAUGCCGUUGGUUUAAACACGUUUAUCCGGAAAAACGUGUUACGGAUACGCAUUCGCGUUAUCACUUUUUUAUUGUUCUAUACAUACGCAUAACAUAAUAACUGUUCCUCCGUGUGUAUGUAUAAAUAUAUAGAUACCUAUAUACUGCAGCCUAGAUAUAUUACACGUUUACGCGAAUAAAAAGUAAUAGUUUCGACUGGACGGUAACAUUUUCGACCUUGCAACGAUUAUUAUUAAUAUUUUUAUAAUAUUAUCGUUUUUAUUUUUGUUUUUUUUUUUUUUUACUGCAAUACGAUAAUAUUAAAUAACGUUUAAAAAAUCCCCCCGUAUAAUCCCCGUCCUAUAUGACUGACGGACAUAUACGAACGAAAAAACACAAAUUUCAAGUAUAAUUCGAAAAAAAAUGUUUUGUUAUAAAUAUUGUUUACGGUAAAACUAAUCAUACACGAUUUGAAAAAUACAAAUGGCGGCUGAUUGCAGAUUCACUUACCCCUCCCCGAACCCAAAACCGUUCAAAAUAAUGGCAAUGCCAUCGGCUUUAUUGUCACCAUUAGCUUAUUGUUUCGGAAAUGUUCCAAAAGUUCCGAAAAAAAAAAAAAAAAAAAAUGAUUUAAUGCAUUUCCGCAAGGUAUUGGCAGUGUAGUCUUAAGGGAGAUUGACCUCCCCUGUAUUCUUCUUAGUUUUUUUAAAAAUCAUUACAACAUAUAUGCUUUUCUCUAUUAUCUCUUCUUAUCCUGAACUCAUCUCCGUCUUGUAUGUAUUCCAAUUUCCAUUAGAGUUUUCCUGACUGUGUCAAUUCACUUUUGUUUUGGCAAAUCCCGCAGUGAUAUUUGGCCACUUUAAUUAUCUCCCUGUACUCUAUUUAAUAAUAAAAAUAUACGAUCCAACUUACCUAUUUUUAAGGACUUUUUUUUUUUUUUAACGAGACGUAGCGAACAAAUACAUUUUGGUAAUUUCACUAGUGGAUUCUGGUUUUAAUAUAAAAAUAAUAUGAACGACGGUUGAAUUUGUUUUUUUUUUAUGAUAAAAAUUAAUACAUUUUCGUUGCCGGCGUUCUAUUUUCUCCGAUUUAUUUAUAAAUAAAAUGUUUUUUGUUAUACACAAAAGAACUUUUCACAACAUUUUAGACGAAAAAAUAUACGAACAAUAGUUUCGAUUCAUUUUUUAAUAGUAUAGUUGCAAAUUAUAUUACGGUUAUUAUCAACUUAAUUUUAUCAAAAUAUAUUUAUAUAACUAUACGCUCGGAAUUGGUUUUCGUUGGCGAUGAUUUAUUGCCGCGUACCUGUGUAGAUAUAAACUAAUAGUGUUACACUGUAAUAUUAUAAUACGGUAAAAUAUACGAUUGAAAACGGCAUUUGUAUUACUUAUUAUUACGAUUGAAAACGUUCGAUUGAUAUAUUUCCUCCUCAACGCGUUGCUAAAUUAAAUAAUUUUUAUAUAACUAGUCUGGGAUAUCUUUAAUUUCACGAAAUAUAAUAAUAUAUUGUUAUGCAUUCGCCAGUUAAAGAUUAAAACGAUAUUUUUAUCGCAAACACCGUGAGUUUACCACGGAAAUCCAAUAUUAUCGUUGGAUUUUAUUGGAUAGAUUAUUACGUUAUUUAUACGCACACGUUAUACUGGAUGCCCAUAUUUUCCAUAAGAUUAUAGUAUUAUAGUAUAUACGACUGUGAUUACGGAGAUUUUUGUUGCGCGUUCUGCGUUUGUUAUUAUUUACCGGGUUUAAAAAUAAUAAUAACAACAAUAAAACCAUUUUUCACGUAAAUCCGUUCUCGAUCAUCGUAUUAUAGGUCUUCUGGGUCAGCGCCGCCGGUGAGCUCUCUGCGAAUUUCCAGCGUUUCCGCGAUGUCUUGUUGGUCGACAUGUGACAUACGUAUUCUGCUCAAUCGUUCGACAACCAUAUUGUCCCAUAUACAUCCCAACUUCCCGUUUACAACAGCGAAUAAGUCUGCGGCUUGGUGCAUGAAUGGCCAAUGUCAUAUUUUGUGAUUGUUGGGAAAUGGACUUUGAAAUUUUAACUCCCCAUUAUAAGGCUCUGUGUAUUUUAUAAAAUGUAAUGUUUGUGUAAUUUUCAAUUUUACACAAAAACUUAAACAACGUUUAUUUAGAAAAAAAAAUUCGAACACUUUUUAUUUUUUUAUUUCUAACUGAUUUUUUAAAAAAUUGACAUUGGCUUUCUCACACCAGAAGUAUGUUUGCAAUUUUUUCUUUUUAUAUAUAUAUAUAAUAUUUCAUAUACUAUGGUAAACUAAUUAUGUAACGUACAAUCUAUUCCGCUUUUAGUUUUUUUUUUUUUUUUCAUUGCCCAGAAACAAUAAAUAGGUAUGGGCUAUGAUGUUUUUGUAUACAAACUAACCUUCGGUGUAACAAAUAACAAUAAUAAUAUAGGAAGUAGUACCGCUAUUUAAAUCUUAAAUAAAAUAAUAAUGAAUAAUGAUGGCGGUAAAUAAUGAUUUUUGUCUAUGACAAAACUCGUUUUUUUUUUUUGCAAUUUUAUUUUCUAUAAAUAAACAAAUUAUACAUAUACUUAAACUAUAUUAUAAUAAUGCACAAUACAUUAUUGAUAUGCAAGAUAACCGGUUAUUUGUUGAUAAACGGCUCGUCGUUUUCGCACUACAUUAAUCCGAUUUAAUCUGUAUCUAAAAUAUUCUAUGGUAAUUUAUUUGUUCGCCGAUUUUCGUGUACAUUAUUAAUUAACCGAAAUGCAUAAUUUAUUAUUAUUAUUCAGAUUAGGACCGAAAGUCUCCAAAAUCAUCCAAUUUCGGUAAUCUCUACUACAGUGUAGUUUCGUCCUUCUAGCUCCCAUCGCACUCUUCGACGAUCUCUAAAAUAUUAUUUUAUCUGAACGUAUAAUAUCUAUACAGCUCGAUGUUUUUCCAUGGUCCUCUAUACUCUCCAUGGUUAUGUCGCCCAAAGAUUUUCCGCCAUAUUUCAUUUCACGAAUACCGAUUAUCCGUUAUGUUUUCUUUGGUGGUCAAUAAGUUUCAUAGUAAUAGGUACCAAGUAUAGAAGUACUUAUAAUAUAUUAUAUUUAUUAUUAAAAAUCUCUAAAAAUACGCAAAUAGAUCGUUAUAUCGUUUUGUUUUGUUUUGUUUUUUUUUAUUAACGGAAUAAACAAUGAACAGAGAACUUACAAUGCCCGCGGGAUGUUAGAAAUAUUAUUUUAACCUUUUUUUCCCCAAAAUAUAGGAAAUGAAAAAUUUAAUAUAGGUAUGUAUUUGUAUUUACCCCUUACGUUAUGAGCAAUAUAAUAAUAAGCGGGUAUAUUAAACAUAUUAUGUAUUCAUAUUUCUGUGCUACGAAAAUUGAGUUUUUCCCUAAUUCAGCGCACAUCCGGUAUUUGAGACAAAAAACAUCCUCGCUGAAUACAUAAUAAUAAUGUCUGCAAAUCCAAUACAAAAUUCGGUGCCAGGAUAGUAUAUAUUCGAUUUUAUGUAAUACAAUUUUAAAUACAAGCAUAUUAAAUUUUUAAUAUACGAUAUUUACAUAUGGCUACAUGCAUAAAAUUUACAUAAUAUACGUGAAUUAUUACAAUAAUAACAAUAAAUAAACAUCAUUGUAAAAUCAAUACAUUCCUUGCUCCUCUCAAAAUUUAAAAAUAAAAUAUAGAGCGUAGGUAUUUCAGUGUGCCUAUCAUUUUUGUAGUCAUUGUUGUAGGUGGGAAGAUAGAAAGGUAAGAUAAAUUGUAUUGAUAAAUGUAUAUCCGUUCGUAACAAUAGAUCAUUGCCAACUAAAUACGAUUCUGAGCAAAGUUCGGUUAAACCCGUUUUGAAAUCCCGUGGUUUUUACGAUUUUCGAUAACAUCUGAAUAUAAAACUCUUAUAUAAAAAAAAAGCUCCUACAAUACACUUAACCUUUUUUUGUUUUACCAGUAAAAAUAAGUACAACUUAAGGUGAAUCUUGAAGUAUUUCUUUCCAAACCAAUUUUAUUCACAUAAAACCAAAUUAGAAAUUCUACUAAAAAAAACCUAAAAAUAUAUCAAAUGUCUGUAAAUAACUAAAAAGUCACCAGAACACAAUAAAAAAAAAAAAUUAUUAUAACUAUUGCUGACCUCUAUAAUUAUUUUUAAAUGAAUUAAAACCCCUCUAUAAUUAUUUUCAAUUACAACCGAAAAUCGAAAAUAAUAAAACAUAAAAACCGUUAUUUUCAUAAACACCCAUAUUUCUUAUGUUUUUCUGAACCAUCAAAAAAUGAUCUCCUCACCAGCUAUAGAUUCAAAAUGCUACAAAAAAGGUAUCUAGUCAUUUUUUGAUUAGAAAAAAAUGUCUAGCAAAAAUGUUUAUAAAAAAAAAAAACUUCAUAAUAAAACACCAAAAUCAUUCCACGCUGGGUUCAGAACGUGACAAAAACUCAAAACCCGAAAAUCUUCUUUAGCCUUUAUUCCUUUCAGGAAUCAGUGAUAUAUUUCGGUAGAACAUGCAGUAUCGCUUUAAUAGUAUUGAUACGAAACUCUUUUUUUUCAGUUUACAACGUCAAAUUAAUUAUUUAAAUGAAAACUUAUAACGUAUUUUUUAACUGUUAUUAUUAUAUUAUAGCAGUGAUUUCCGAUCUGGAGGUAAUUAUGAGGUAAAAUGAGAUUUUUUGAGGGGUAAAAACAAGACUAAUUUUUUAUUUUUAUGUACGCAUGUACUAUGUAUUAUUAAUUAUGCCUAUUAAAUCAUUUUAGACUGAGCGGAGCAAGGAAUAUAUUGGUUCUACAAUGAUGUUUAUUUUUUAUAUUUUUUUAUUUUUUUGUGGACAUUUUUUCUACCAGCGAUUUUUCUCCGAUUUUCAAUGAUAACACUUUUUCUGAAAGGAAAUCUUACUGGGGUGGUGCUUUUACAAUAAAUGAGAAAAACCGGGAAAAAAUUGAGGAGUUUUUCCUCAUGAUAUAGUAAUAAAUUGUAUCCGCUUACUGUGUAACGACAAAUUGCAUCUCGGUGAUUUCGGACCGAAUAAUUACGAAUUUGUAUCCUAAUCGACCGGAAUAAUGCAUUAUGCAUAGUAGCUAUAUUAUCCAAUAUAGACGAAUAAACGAUUCGACUGACGUAAUAUAACGUUCUUAUUUGUUUUUUCCUGAAUAAAUAUCGCAUUGUGGAAUAGUAACAAUAAAUUUUCUUGUUUAAAGUAUAUUAUGUAUACUUAAGGUUGCAUAUAGAAAAUAAAUAACAAUGAUGGCCCGCUACUUUAUAUUAUAUUUAUAUACACAAUAUUAUAUUAUGACGUUCGGCCCACACGCCUUGAUUUCGAAUUCUGAUCACGUAAACGAUUUUUGAGGGGUAUUUUUUUUUUCAUUUUUUAUCUGCCGUCUGUGUAACGCAGGCCGUUUUUUUUCUUUACCGGAAAGGACGUCGAUAUUUAUACACCGCGAAGACAAUAUUACAUAAUAUAAAACGUUUUAAUUAUUUAUAAUAAUAUUCCGUAAAAAUGCAGGGUAUAUAGUAUAAGGGGUGUAGUUUACGAAAUCCGUAUUACAGUGAACGCUGCAACGUUUUUUAAAAAUAAAAGCCUCGUUGUAUUGAAAUAAAUGUAUAUAUAAUAAGACGUAUAAAAUAUCGGAAAACAAAAACGAAUCGCCGUAAAUCUGACGCGAAUCUAUACGCGUUGCAAUAUUCACCAAUUAUCUAUUAUUAUUUUUUAGAUUCUAAGUGGACCGAGGAAUUUAUCGGUUUUACUAUAAUAUGCGAGGUUUUUUUUUUUUUUAUUAUGUGUGUCAACAACUUUCCUACUAGGAAUCUCCAAAAGAAAUAUGACACGAGCUUUUUUUUAGGAUUUUUUAUUUUAGUUUGUGCGUUGAGGAGGACAUAUUUUGUUUUAUUUUCCAAGCAGUUUUCGUAACUAUCGGGAAAAAACUUAGGAAAAAUGUGAAUUUAAAAUGUAACAAACGGUUUCGAUAUUUUCGAUUUUCGGUUUUUGUCGUUAUCGACCGAACGUUUUGCAAAAGGUCGGUUAAAUUAACUCGAUUUAUUUUAGUUCAAGAUUUUUUUUUUUUUAUGAUUAAAAAUGAAUGGGCAAUCAAAUAAUUUCACUGUCGUUUUUGCUGUCACACGCAUCAUAGAAGUUCACGCUGCCACUUGACAUCACUUAAUCUAACCUAAAAUUAUAUUGUAUUGGAGUUAUAAUAUUGUGAUUCGGUAUAAAAAUGUACAAACGUCAUAUUGCACACCCAUUUUAAUAUCACCGUUUUUACCGACAUGUUCGGAUUUUAAGUUAUUGUUAUAUUAACAAACCUGUUGACAGGGAAAGCGGGGCCCUGCGUGUGUAAAUAACAUUUAGUAAUUUAAAAAUCUGCCUUGUGCAGUUAAAUGUAUAUUAUAUGCUAUAUUCGUUUCAAAAACACGCGCGUGGCUUGUGGAAAUUGAAAAAAAAAAAACGAAGAUAACUCGGAUCGUGGGCGUGCGUCACGCGUUUUCUCUACAAGAUGUAAAAAAAUAAAACUAACCGAAAAAACUUGUUUACGACAAGCGCAGGUUCGUCCCGUGGGCAUAAACGCGAUAUAAAUUAAUCCAUGGUGUUCGCCCCUUCACCGCUGCCGCCCGCAUUAACAUCGCUAGCUAUCUGAAACGAUAUUAUUAUUACUAUUAUUUUUGGGAGGAGAUACGAACGCCUCUUGUAUAGUUAAAUCCCUCCCCUCUCGGGACCGCCGUGUACACAUACUGUAUAUACUACACCUCCUACAUAAGUGCACGGUUUAUCGUUUUCGGUCCCGAAUAAUUUCCCGCGAUCUUUUUAAUCUCGUUGGACUACGUAAUUUCCUUAAUGACAUCGCGUCGAUUAGUCAUCGGCACGUGCGGAUCGCGCGUUAUUAUUUUGUGUACCCAAUUUAAUACUAUAUUAUUAUCAGUCUAAAUGACAGUACUGAUUAGCAUUAUUAUUGCAGCGAAACGGAAUUUCACUAACUCAGAUUUCACUUAUUGCGAUUUUCGCUCAAAACAAUACACCCCUGCACUCGCCCGGGCUCAAGAUUUUCGCGUAGGAGAACCUUUUAGCGAUCGGCACCUUAUUUACAAGCGAACCUCGUUUGCUGAUAACAACAAUAAUACGACCUUGUCCGUUUUACCGGUUCACGUUAUUAUUAUUUUUAUCGCCGUGUGAAAAUAUAUAAACACACUGCACUGUUAUUGUUUUUGUUGCUCGUAACCGGUUUCUGAUCUACCGGCGCGCGACAGCACUUAUUGUUCGGCCGUUAUAUAAGAGAAAGACAUUAAUUUACAAGUGGCACACACACAUUUCCUGUCUGGCCCGAAAACCGUUCGAUUAGAGAGAAAUUAUACAAUAUGAAUACUUUUAUUAUUAAACAAAAAAAAAAAAAUUCAAACAUCGUCACUAAAAAAUAUAAUAUCUCUUCUCUAUAAUACAAUGCGUGCCCAGUAAAAACGUGGAAUGUAAAUGGAAUGUUCUAGACAGUCUGAUAACAAUAAUUCAAACUACAUCAGUAGGUUCACCACUUAUGACCCUCCACCUCCCAGAAAAUAUUCUAUAUACAUAUGUACAUCCUAAUAGUUGGUUAAAAUCGAUUUUUUUUUUUUUCAUCAUAAUAUCAUCGUUUGAAAUAGUAACCCACGAAAAACCGUAUUUAAAUAUUGUUUUGUAUAGUAGACGUAAACGAAAAUUAAUUUAACCAAACUCCACCAGCAAACCUAUCUAUAUCGAGAAUCGUGUUUAUCUGUUUACAAUGCAAUUUCGUCGAAUUCAAAAUAAUAUUUUAUUAAAUCACGAUUUAUCAUGCCUUAAAUUGAACAGAGAACGAAAACUUCCGUAAAAACCUGUUGUAGUACCAGUAUAGUUGAAAACAGACACUAUGGGCGUGAUUAGAUUUUUGUGUCUGGUGGGAUAGACUGCGAUAUUUUUCAGGGAUUACUAGAGAAGUGAGAACUUGUGGCACUUAAACGUCGUAUAAACUUAAACAUAGAUUAUCACCAAAUUGAAACAAUAUUAAUUAUUAAUUCAGGGUUGGGAUUUAAUAGCACUUAAAAUUGCGUAAAUAUGCUUCACAAUACCAUCUUAAAUGUAUUAACAUAAUAUCACGUAUCAGAUUAUCGCUCGUAAACUAUUAGUGACUAAAAUUUUGAUAGCAUUUUUAGUCGCAGAUCGAAAUCCUGUCGAACCAUAAAAAUAAGCAGAUAAGAUAACAAAAGUUUAAAUUAAAAUCAAAUAAUACGAAAUGAUGAAAUUCUGUUCCCGUCUCAUCAGCGCGUCUGCGUAAUCGGUCUAAUAACUUAGUCUGUAUUUACUUAUACACGUUUGUUAAAAUUUAUAUCAUUUGAUUGAUAAAUAAUAUUCAGAUUUCGAUUAUUAAUUUAAUAUUCAUUAUUAUAAUACACAAUAAGUAUUAUUUUAUUACUAUAAUUUAUUUAUACUAUGACUAAUUAAAAAAAAAAAAAAAACGGGUAAAAAUGAAAUAAAAUAAAAUCUCAAUUGCAGUGCAACCUUAUCGGUCUUACUUAAUAAUUGGUAUUUUGAAUAACAUAUUAAAAUUGCUUGAAAUACUCUUGGCCGAUAAUUUCGCCGGGAGGAACGGGAGUCAGUUGCCUAUCUUUCUCUCCCCCACCACCCCUCCCACCCACCCGUAAACAAAUCCAUAAAAAUGGGUACUAAUGGACGACGAAAACGCAAGAAAAGAACGUCAAUCGAAUUAUAUGUAUUAUAUUAUAAACUUAUAUUAAUUAUGUGUGUGUGUGUGUGUGUGUGUGUGUGUGUGUAUUUUACUUACCUAUUGUGAAAUUAAUUAUAAAAUCACUAGGUGAGAUUUUGCCAGUAAUAAUAUUACAAUAAUGAUAAUAAAAAUAUUAUAAUACAUUGUAAUAAUGGAUGUUAGGUACACAAGCACGCGAAUAUUGUUGUGACGGCGAACGGACGGAGACGUGACUGACCGUCGUCACUGCGGUGUUUAAGCCAUUCGGGAAGAGAUAAAUUAUCGUCAAGGCGCAACAAGUUAUACACAAUGGUGAGUGAUGAGAUGUUGAUGUGUGUAAUUGAACGCAAUUUGCUGACCCUUCGUGUU